GGGCCCGCACAAGCGGUGGAGCAUGUGGUUUAAUUCGACGCAACGCGCAGAACCUUACCAGCCCUUGACAUGCCGUGCUAUUCGCAGAGAUGCGGAGUUCCAGCAAUGGACGCGGACACAGGUGCUGCAUGGCUGUCGUCAGCUCGUGUCGUGAGAUGUUGGGUUAAGUCCCGCAACGAGCGCAACCCUUGCCUUCAGUUGCCAUCAUUUAGUUGGGCACUCUGGAGGGACUGCCGGCGGUAAGCCGGAGGAAGGUGGGGAUGACGUCAAGUCCUCAUGGCCCUUACGGGCUGGGCUACACACGUGCUACAAUGGUGGCGACAGAGGGCGCAGGCGAGAGCGCAAGCUUUAGCAAAUCCUCAAAAGCCAUCUCAGUUCAGAUUGCGCUCUGCAACUCGGGCGCAUGAAGGUGGAAUCGCUAGUAAUCGCAGAACAGCAGGCUGCGGUGAAUACGUUCCCGGGCCUU
This 466-nucleotide ribosomal RNA is filed under the name uncultured bacterium. RNAcentral's name for it is "bacterial SSU rRNA". It matches the Rfam family "Bacterial small subunit ribosomal RNA", at positions 917 to 1382 of the family's 1533-position model. The record is from RNAcentral.